UACGUAGGCAGCAAGCGUUGUUCGGAGUUACUGGGCGUAAAGGGUGUGUAGGCGGUUUUUUAAGUUUGGUGUGAAAUCUCCCGGCUCAACUGGGAGGGUGCGCCGAAUACUGAGAGGCUAGAGUGUGGGAGAGGAAAGUGGAAUUCCUGGUGUAGCGGUGAAAUGCGUAGAUAUCAGGAGGAACACCGGUGGUGUAAACGGCUUUCUGGACCAUAACUGACGCUGAGGCACGAAAGCUAGGGGAGCGAACAGG
This 253-nucleotide ribosomal RNA is filed under the name uncultured bacterium. Its description in RNAcentral is "partial 16S ribosomal RNA". It matches the Rfam family "Bacterial small subunit ribosomal RNA", at positions 524 to 776 of the family's 1533-position model. The record is from RNAcentral.